AUUAAGGAGUUGCAUUUCAUAGGCAAAUAAAGCUUCUCUCACCUCAUAGACUCAAUGAAUUCUUCAAGUAAGCUUUUAAAAAAUAUUUUGCUAGGUGAGGUGGGGCACCACUAUGAUCCUAGCUAUUUGGGAGACUGAGACAGGAGGAUAGUAAGUUUGGGGCCAGCCUGGACAAUGUAGUGAGAUCCUGUCCCAAAAUAAAAUUAAAAAGGGCCGGGGAUAUAGCUCCGUGGUAGAGCACCCCUGGAUUCAAACCCAAGUAACUAGGGGAAAAAAAGAAAAAGGAAAAAGAGAGAAAAUGACAUGUCUCUUCUGUCACCAUUCACUUUACUUCAAUCAAAUCUAACUGGAUGUGGCAAGCACCUGAAUGGAACUGUAUUUGUUUAAUAUUGCUGCAUUGGUAGGGGUCUCUACUAAGAGGCUGGGAUGCCUCUAUUUACUUCCUAUUUACUUACUCACCUAGCUCACAUUUUUUAUUUAAUUGUGUGCCGGGCACUUUUUUAGCUGUAUAGACAAAAGAUCAUUUUAAUGGCCUUAACAAGUAGUAUUUGUUGAUAGGAAAUUCCCACACAAAACAUCUAACUUUUUGCAAGCUUAAGAGGCAGAUGUUAUUCUCGUCUCUGGUUUGUAGAUGAGGGUAUCAGACAUCUCAAUUUUGAACCCUUUCCUUCCACCUUUUUACUCCAGUGGAAAUGAAAUGAGUUGUAACAAAAUAAGACCAUGCAGGCUGGCCCAGCUACACUCGGGGGCAACUGGUCAAGGUCUGGCCACACUCCUGCUUCCUGCCCUGGGAAGUCCCAGACACCUAAGAUGGAGGGCCUGUGGCAUCCACUGGAAGCUCAUAUAUCCACAGCUAAGAAAUGGAAGAGAUCCACGCUCACACAGGCUCCCGUUACCACUGGGGGAUGGACCAACAGAUAAAUGCUUCUCUGAGUCCUCCGAGACCCUUUCAUAGGCUCUUGCUGAGGCCCCAUGGCCCACUGCCAACUCAGCAGUGCAUCCUUGCAUGGGCCUUUCUUCUUCCCCAUUCUGCUUCCUAUCCCUCACUCCUACUCCUGGGAUCUCUUCUCCAAUCAGCUACUUGCACACCAGACUUUCUACCUUAGGCUCUACUUCCAGGGAACACAGAUUAAAAUCAUGAGAUUAGAAGGUUAAAUAUCGCAGAGUUUAAGGAACUCUGGGAUUCACAUUCGGUCCCUCUGACUCCAAAUUCCGUGUGCAUUUCUCUUUGUUCUACUUGUAUUGAGCAAACUAAUGGUCGGUGUGCACAGAGGCCUGGAUACACCAAUAACUAACUGCAAAAGGUAAGUGUCAAAUGGAAAACAGGAGCUAUGACAGUAGGUCUCGUGUGUGGGCUGGUCAGGGAAUGCUCACAGAGCAGGUAACAGAGAGGCCUUUCCUAACAACAUUCCAUCAUUUUUAUCUCAGAGCAUCAUUGUUUUCUUCUAUCCUUUAUCACAAUGUGAUAAUACAUAUUUCUUUCUGUUUACUCUCUCUGCCCUCUCAGGGUAGGGAUCAUGUCAGGUUUGUUCACACAGAAACAUAAUAUCCACAGCAUCUAGCACAGUGCCCAGGACAUAGAUGGCAAAUCAAAAACUCAGUCAUAAUUGUUAAACAAAUAAAAAAAUUGUUGAUAAAGAAUAAAUGAAUGCCAUUAAAGGCAAAAUGAAUAGUAAAAACAAGAAAUGAAAGAGUAUGUAAAUAUAACCUGUUCAGAGAAAGUCUGUGACUGGUUAUGUAGGAUGCAUUUGUGGGGAAGGGUUGCAGGGAGUGGCUGCAGAAAAUACAUCUUGCAGUAACACUGAGGCCAGAUAAGCAUUAUAGUCCCAUUCUUUGUGAUGAAGAUAAGAUUGUCCGGUAACUGGUUACAUAACUUGGGUUCUCAUGUGUCUGCUAUUUCCUGCAUUCAAGUGUGCUUUCUUCUCCACUUGGCAACUGAAACAGGACCAGACCUUGUUUACAGGUGUGGGUCUUUUAAUUUCAGGUUUGCUUGAUCUAAGCUUGAUUCUUUCCUGGCAGUUACCUGAUGCAUUUUGUAAAGUUGGGUGUUGGCAAAAUCCUGUCCUAAAUCUCUCCCACGGAUGGUACUACUGGCUCUGUCUGCUUUUGAGUUACUUGUCUAGGAGUCUUGCUGUUCUGUGCUCUCUGUCUUGCCUUUCCUAUCUGAACUUGUUACAGUUUGGAUGUGAGAUGUCCCCCAAAAGCUCAUAUGUGAAUAGUGCAAGAAGGAUCAGAGGAGAAUUGAUUGGGUUGUGAGAGUCUUUACCCAAUCAGUGAAUUAAUCCCCUGAGAGGGAUUAACUGAGUGGUAACUGAAGUGGUAGGGUGUGGCUGAAAGAGGUGGGAAUUGGGGGUGUGACUAUGGGAUAUAUUUGUAUCUGGAGAGUGGGGUCUCUCUCUGCAUGCUUCCUGACCACCAUGUGAGCUGCUUCCCUCCACCACACUCUUCUGUCAUGAUGUUCUGCCUCACCUAGAGCCCGAGGAAUGGAGCUGGAUUUCUAUGGACUAAGACCUCUGAAACCAUGAGCCCCUAAAUAAAUCUGGUCAGGUCCUUUAGUCACAGCAGUUAAAAAGCUGACUAAGAAAACUUCUACAGCAUCAGCCUUCAGGAUCUUACUAAUCACACAAGGUGGUAUAAGAUAGUUUUCAUUUAUCCAAACAUAUGGUAAGACUGUCCUGUGGUCGCAGGCCUCUCCUGGUUGACUUGUGGUUCUAUGAACUCAGCACUGUUCAAAUACUUGGCUGAUAUUCUGAUGAUUGGGAGAUUCAUCCCUCCAUUCUUUCAGCCCUAGUUUGCUGAGGUGGGCUCAUCAAGACCAAUUCCAUUCCAAUGGACUCUGUGUACUAAAGGACCUGGAAAAACAUACUAGAUGAUAGAAUUGUUUCCUGCUGUCCUGCCUUUAGCUAAAUUUAAAAAAAAAAAAAAACAUAUUCCAGCUAUUCAGCAGUUCUCACACUCUUUCUCUUUUCAUUUGCAGAAGCCCGAUUAGAAGCACACAGACACCUGUUCCUUCCUGGCUCCUUGGGAGAUAGUUUCUACCCUUGGUGUACUGGCAUUUUAGGAACCACUGAAACUCACCUUUAACACUGUUUAUUUUUAGUGUCCUGCAUUUAUAUUUAGAAGGGAAGAUCUGUCAGGCUUCCAGGAUCAUCAUUCCUGCAAUUUUUGCUGGAGCACGGGGACACCACGAGGAGGGAAAUUUAGUCAUGCAUGUAAUGCCCCCAUUUAUUUCCUGGAACUAGUGACCCAGCACAGGCACAUGUACCAAACCUACAAGGAGAAAGUGGGCUGACCUUCAGUUGCUUAGACCUGGCCAUUCACCAACACUUCCAAGUUAGGACAGGCCUGCUAAUGGACUUGGAAGUUUUCUAAGAGAAAGAACAGGUAGAAAUUUGUGAGGAUCAAGAGAGGCUGCUUGCUAGCCUGGCAAGGUGGCAUACAUCUGUGAUCCCAGAUACACAGGAAGCUGAGGCAGGAGGAUUGCAAGUUCAAGGCCAGCCUGGGAAACUUAGCAAGACAGUCUUUAAAUAAAUAAAUAAAUAAAUAAAUAGGUCAGGGUAUGCAGCUCAAUGGUAGAGUGUCCCUGGGCCCAAUCCCUAGCACUGCACACAAAAAAUAAAAAUCAGAAAAAACUCAAAAGGAGAGAGAGCAAUGCUUGCAAAAAAGCAGGUAAAAUUACUUCCAUCCUGCAAUCUUGCCCCUCUUUUCCUUUUAGUUCCUACAAAAUGUGUUCCUGUGCAUUUAAAUUUUUUAAAAACAAGUGCUAUAUAUAUUAAUAUAAAAUUUUGAAGGAAGAAUUGAUACAACAUAUCAUAAGGACCUAUAUUUCUAAUGUUUGAAACACUCUUAAGCAUCAAGUAAUAAAGGGCCAAAAAACCCUGUAGGAAAAAAAUGAUUAAGAUAAUUUUUAAAGAGAUGUAAAUAUGCCUUUAAACAUAUUAAAAGAUGCUCAAAUUCAUAAUUAAGGAAAUGAAACUUAAAAUUCCAUCUUUAAAAAAUGCUAUACCAUUUCUCAUCUAUAAAAUUUGUAAAAUUUCAAAAAGCAUGACAGAUGACAGCAGUGUCUUGCCGAGACUGUAGGAAACAGGCAUUUUCAUACACUGUGGUGGCAAAUUGGUAGACCCUGGAUGGAGGCAAGAUCAAAGUUCCCUGUGUACUUAUUUUCAAUCCAGAAAUCCCCAAAAUUUAGGAAUAUACCCUGAAGAUAUUCCCAAGAGCAGAAAAAUACCUUUUCAUAAGUUUAUUUAUCCCAGUAUUAUUUUCAAAUACAAAGUAUGGAAAACAAUCUAAAUGCUCAUGCAUAGGAGAUUAUCGGAAUACACUAAGAAAGUCACAUACUGGAGUGCUAUUCAGUUAUAUAAAUAAAUGUGGGAGAUCUCAAUGAUCUGAUAUGGAGAUAGUUCCAGAAUACAUUGUUAAAUGGAAAAAAGUGCAAAUGAGUACCCAGUAUGUUACCUUUCAUGUAGGAAAGGAGGAGCAAAAGUAUAUACAUACAUUUGCUCAGUUUCACACAAAUUAAUACAGGGAGAAUAAGCCUGAAACUGAGAUUGGCUCCCUAGAAGGAAGUCAGGAACAAAAUAGAUAAAAAGAAGGAAUGGAAUACAGGACAAGGGGUAUGCCUUUCUAUAAGGGUCUGACUUUCAGAGUUAUAAUGAUGUUGCACAUACUAAAAAGAAAAGGAAAUCAAUAAUUAAAUAAAAAUCAUUCUGGAGAUCCAUAAAAUAAAAUAUAAAUAACAACAAAUGAACCCAACUGGAUUACAAAUGGAUAGCAGAACCAUAGUGCAGAAGGUAGGAAGGAGAGAAGUAGGUAAUUCUAGAAACAGUAUCUUGGCUACAUUUAGUAAGACUAAAGUAAAAGUAUAGCUGAAUACAAAUGGUAUAUACUCUAGUCUGUAAUUUUACUUUUUAUGGAGAUAUUGAUUAGCAAUUCUGAAGCUAUUUUGGGUAUUCUAGGAUUGAGCAAAUAAGUAAUAUGGAUGAUGAAAGCCAAUUUUCUCAUUCUAAUAGAAAGGAAUUGUAGAUAAGAAUAGCUGAAAAGAAAACAGAAUUGGUGUUGUGGGUUUAGAUUAGAGAUGCUGAUAUAAAUUUAUGAUCAAUAUGAACUGUGUAUGUAUAUCUCCAUACACAUAUGUCUAUAUUCUUAGCUCUGUCUGCUCUAAGGGACUUAAAGCAAUCACGUUCCAGUACCAAAGAACAUAUUUACUGAUUAAAUAUUGGUUUAUAAAUAAUGUUUGCUUAUGACAAGAACCAAGGAUCUUUGGAGAAAUGGCAGAUUCCAGGUAUGGGCAGGAAGAAUAUAAGAACCAGGAAUAUCUUGUGGUGCCAUGAAGUGAGGAAGUACUCAAAAUAUGAUUGGGACAUGUGAAAAGGACAUACAGGUCAAAUUCAAGGGUCUCCCAAUGGUCAACCGUGUGAUAAUCUGACUAACAAAAUAUCUGUCAACAAUAAUAGAUUAUAACAAACAGAAUAAAAUAAAUAUCCAUGAGUCCCUAGUGAUACCAUUAAAUAAAUAAGUUUUUAAAAUGGAGGAGAGACAGCUUUCGCUCGUAGUAGAAUUUAAUCCACAAGGGUAGAGGAUGAUGAAACUAGAAAUUACUAACUGGGAAGCAAUUAGUAAUUAAUAUUAUAGGCAAGAAUCAUCAAUAGGAGUUAAAAUUAAAUUAAAUGUUAUAAAUUAUUAAAUGUUAGAGGCAAGAAUCAUCACUAGGGGUUAAAAUUACUACCAUAAAUAUGCUGAGAAAAAAAUAUUUGCCUGGUUUCUAUGUGUCUCCCCACAAUGGAGAAAAAGAAUAACUUCAAAGAAAAGAAACCCCAAUCUUAACCAGGCAAUCAAAGUUGAGAUCACCAAUAUGGAGACACCACAACAUCAGAUUUCUCCUGAUGUGCUGUGCUGCUUCUGUGGGGUUCAUGCCAAAAAUAUGUUACCUGAGUGUCUUCAGAAGGAAACAUCAGAUAAGCCUCCAAAUGCAUGCAUCCCACACAAUAGCAGGAAGGGUACCCAUCAAGGUCAUGAAAGACCAGAAAAACUGAGGACCAGCUGAGAUUGGAAGAUAGUAAAGUGAUAUGAAAACUUUAUCUUGGAACAGGAAAAGGACAACUAAUGAUACAACCAGAGACAUUUGAGAAGGUCUAUACACAGCUAAUAGCAUCAUAUUAAGGUUAGCUUCCUAUAAUGUGGUGAUAUAAGGUGUUAGCCUUUGAAAGAUACAAUGUCUUACAUAUUUUUUGUAACUUUUUUCUAAGUUCUAAAUUUUUUCAAAGUGAAGAGUUGAAAACAUUUUAGUUAAUUAAUUGAUUAAUUUUGAAAGGAAGAAAAGGGUACGUAAUGCCCUCACCAACAUACUCUCCAGGAAUCAGUUUUAUUCUAGCACAUAGUUCUUAAUAGUUUCUCAUAUAUCCUUCCAUAGAUUUUUCUACACAAAUAAAUACAAGUAUAUUCAUCAUAUAUGUUUAGGCAUAUACGUACUAGAGAGCCUCCAAUGAAAGUAUACAUUGUUAUUUUAAUGACUACAUUAUAUUAUAUAGAUAACCUGUGUCACCUGUUUUAAUUUCAUCAGUAAUUGACAUGAUAUUUCUAAUAUUUUGCUAUUAUGAACAAUAUUGUCAUGAAUGCUUCAUUUCCUAUAUAUACUUGUAUUUACAGUAAAAAUGCUUGGAAUUAAAAUUUCUGGUUUAAAAUGUAUAAAGAUUUUUAUUUUUAUUGACAAACUUACCUGUAGAGAAAGAAAUGCCUAUUCUUCACAUUCUCAUCAACACAGUAUAUGAAAUUGUCUUGGCCAAUAUGA
This 6787-nucleotide long non-coding RNA is filed under the name Marmota monax (woodchuck). Lineage: Eukaryota; Metazoa; Chordata; Mammalia; Rodentia; Sciuridae. The record is from RNAcentral.